This 277-nucleotide long non-coding RNA is filed under the name Ananas comosus (pineapple). Its description in RNAcentral is "long non-coding RNA (ACOM_LNC037279)". Lineage: Eukaryota; Viridiplantae; Streptophyta; Magnoliopsida; Poales; Bromeliaceae. The record is from RNAcentral.
UCAAUUGAGCUAACGAUUAGUGACUCGAUCGGGGACAUAACGACCGAUCAAAGACAUCCUUUGUUUCAAGGAUUCUCGAUCACCCAAAGCUAAUGGCCACUCAGGCCCCAAACCCUCUCCAACACUUACCCAAUUUUAGGUAAGGGAGACUAUCAACGCAUCUAGCGGAAGUAAAUCCUCAAAUCGCACUAUUUCGUGCUCACCGUCCUCAAGGCGAGUGAAGUCAGCUCGCAAUCCAAGGGUACCAGGUACCCCUAACAACUCCACACCAAGGAAG